Long non-coding RNA from Pelmatolapia mariae (spotted tilapia), 336 nucleotides. RefSeq lists it as uncharacterized. The record is from RefSeq and is a predicted model, not a curated record. NCBI's taxonomy places the organism in Eukaryota, Metazoa, Chordata, Actinopteri, Cichliformes, Cichlidae. The transcript is spliced from 3 exons.
CAGCGCAAGCUAGCAAGACAGAAGCUUAGCUCGUUGCAACAUGGUAAAUUGAACCUCCCCCACCCUCAUUCAGAUCUGGCCUUUGGAACUAUUUUGGUCUUCAUGUGAAGUAUGACCCUGAAGGACAUUCCUACACCAAUAAUGGACCAGUUCCUCAGAGGGAGGCCAAUGUGGACUAAAUUGGACAUCCUGACUCUGCCGACUGAUGGACAGUAUGAUGGACCACAUCAGAGCUAAAGUGCCACAGACACAGGACAAAAGAAAAGUCGAGACCAAUAAUUGUUGGUACUGCAGCAGACUGGUCACAGUUCUUUCAUUCUCAGUGAUGGGAAGAGA